RNAcentral lists this transfer RNA (68 nucleotides) under Thalassiosira minuscula. Lineage: Eukaryota; Bacillariophyta; Thalassiosirophyceae; Thalassiosirales; Thalassiosiraceae. The record is from RNAcentral.
CGUGCUUCGCUUUUGAAUGUUGAGCAGAGCAUCCUGCUCCGCGCGGCGCGCGCCUAUUUCAACGUUGG